CCGAUGGUACUGGGGUUACUCCCGGGAGAGUAGGCCGCCGCCUUAU
This 46-nucleotide ribosomal RNA is filed under the name Rhodonellum ikkaensis. The record is from RNAcentral. Lineage: Bacteria; Pseudomonadati; Bacteroidota; Cytophagia; Cytophagales; Cytophagaceae.